GUCUCUGGGAAAAUUAAAAUGGUAGAAUAUUGAUGUGUCUGGAGAACUCUAGGAAAAUAGCAUUCAGUGAGGUUUGGAGAGUCUUUGGAGAGUUUGGAAAGACUUAAUUACAGUUGCACAGAAAACCAAGCAAAGGCAAAAACAAAGGAAUCCAUUCCAGGAACAAAAAAUUGUACCAGAAAGGAAAUGUAGGCAUAGUAUACAUUCGUAGCUUAGCUAUAUUUAAAUAGUCAUCAUAAAUAUUAACUUAAUGCAAAGUUUGGAAUAUCUACAUUUAAAUACAGAAAAAGGACAGGGUUAGGAUGGUAUUUAAAAAGGCCAAUUCUUUCAUCCAUAAUAAUCAGUCAACAGAUAAAUACUGGAUAAUUGAUGCAUGUGGAAAUAAAGAUAUGAGCAUACUACUUAAAAAAUUAAAAGGUAAGUAGGAGAAAGAGCUAAUAGAAUUUAGGGAGAGGUAUUUAGAGGACUGUUUCUCACUAUAAUACUUGUAGAAACUAUUUGGCUAGUUAAUCUAAACUUUUACGGGUCUUAUGAAUUUAAGAAACUAAAACUCAGAUACUAAAAUAUUUAUAGGCAUGUUUUUGUGGACUAAAUUCAUGCUUCUGACCUUAAGGAAACCUCAUCCUAUUUCUUAUUAAAAUAAGGUAUAAAAUAUAUUCUAUAAAGUGCUGUAUCUUAAUAUUAAAAACUAUUUUAAAAUGUAAAAUAUAAAUUUAAUUGCUGGUAAGAACAUACUUUAUGAAAAAUUGCAACCUGAAGUACAAUUGAGCUGGUAACCUUAUUUGUGCCUAGUCACAUUUGAAGGGUGUAAGCACUCCCAUCCAUAACACCUGUUCCCACUCGGAGGGGGAAGGAAUGUAAAAGAAACUGGACACGUUUUGACUGGGAGACGUUUGGAAUGAGAAAACUACGGUAGUUGGAAGAAUGCCCACAGCUGAUAACCUUCACCCAACCAGUUGAGAACUGCUUUAAAAUAUCUUCAGUAAGAUGAAAACAUAUACUCCAAUGAAGAGGAAAGUUAAAAGAGAACAUUUACUAAAGAGUUUAAAAAUCCAACUAAAACCCCUCAACUAUUCCAAUGGUGAGUCAGAAAAAGAAAAAAGGGUCACCUAUUGUUCAAACUCGUGAACUGCAAUAUACGUGCUCAUAUAACUGCCUAAUUGUUAUUUCUUGAAAAGUGCUUACCACCAGGAAAUUCUGGUAUUUUAUUUAACAUACUGAGGAUGUCUGCAGAAAGGAAAGAAUUUUACAGAUGAAGGUGUUAUUUUAGUAGGAUGAUAAUCUUUCUUUUUCCAGUUGUCUGUUUCCCAGUUCUCUGCAGUUUGUUCUCUGUUACACACCUCCUUUUAGCUACUGGAAAUACCAAGAAGAUUGGGAAAAAGUUUUGAAUGUUCAUAGGAAGCCUCUGUGAUUAAAAUGAAAAGAAAGAUAACCAGGCCUGGAUCAUAGGUCUCUCCUUUCCCAGUCCCAACAAUGAUGGGUUCGCAUUAGAUAAGUUACCCAACUAAUAUACUUGUUCCUAGUUUUGUUUAUUAUGGUUCUUUUCAAAAACAAGAGGACACAUUUGAGGGGAAUCUGAAUCUGAGUAUUAUAAUUACAUAAGCAAGGAAGAAAACUAGCAGUAUACUUACAGACUGAUUUGCUUCUGAUUUUCCUCUCCUCCAACCCUAAAGGCUAUAUUUAUGUGAACAAAAUUGAAUGUGUAUCUGUUUAUCAAGGAGGAUGUAGUUGCAAGGGCUGUCUACACUAUAUUGUGUUUUCAGGUUGCAAAGACUUCAAAAUUAUCUCAGGUGACCACACUGUUUCACAAAGUAACAAAAAAGGUGGUAAGCAUACUCAUUCAUUCAGUUCUUCCCAUAUAUAUCCAGGUUUAUAUAUAAAUGCAAAUAUACAAAUGGUGUAGUCAUAUUUGAAGGGAAUUUUGAAAAAUCUAGCUCUGUGGGUUAUCUGAAUAUGCAACAUGAAUGACAAACCAGAAAUUUAAAUAGACACUCACUGUGUUUACUUAAAUGAGAUCAUCUGUAUAGGAUCACACUUCAAAAUGUGUAAUCAUGAAAAAUAAACACAGCUGAACAUAAGUCAGAGUUGAAUUUUAGUGUCUUAUUUCUAAGUCAAAACUCCCUCACACAUUCAAAAUUUUCUUAACAACUAUAUUUUUUUCACCUCUUUGAAUCAAGAGCAGACAUAAUAGCAGAUCUCAACAUAUUUUUC
Molecule: long non-coding RNA, 2211 nt
Organism: Prionailurus viverrinus (fishing cat)
Lineage: Eukaryota; Metazoa; Chordata; Mammalia; Carnivora; Felidae
Exons: 2
Source: RefSeq, a predicted model, not a curated record